UACGUAGGGGGCAAGCGUUGUCCGGAAUCAUUGGGCGUAAAGAGCGUGUAGGCGGUUCGGUAAGUCGGCUGUGAAAGUCCAGGGCUCAACCCUCGAAUGCCGGUGGAUACUGUCGGGCUAGAGUGCGGAAGAGGCGAGUGGAAUUCCUGGUGUAGCGGUGAAAUGCGCAGAUAUCAGGAGGAACACCGAUUGCGAAGGCAGCUCGCUGGGACGUAACUGACGCUGAGACGCGAAAGCGUGGGGAGCAAACAGG
Molecule: ribosomal RNA, 253 nt
Filed under: uncultured bacterium
Lineage: Bacteria
Description: partial 16S ribosomal RNA
Rfam family: Bacterial small subunit ribosomal RNA
Source: RNAcentral